CAUAGUGAAUAACUAACGGGUUAGUUGGUCUUGUCAUGGAUUUUCUUAGGUCUAUAAUCAGAUGUAUACGGGGACAAUUUAGUCCAUUGUUAUACUACAGGACCAGGAGAAGAAAGAUUACCUUGAGAUCCUAUUGUCGCAGACGAUCGUGGAUAAUUUUGUCCAUUGUGAUACUACAGAACUAAGAGAAGACAUAUUACUUACAGAGUACCUAUUGUUGCAGAUUAAUGUGUCUACUAACGAGUCUUCUGUAGUAGUGUUGUCGAGAGCGCAUCAAUUUUUGUUCUCAAUAAAUACAGAAAUCUCCAUAAUAAC
Long non-coding RNA from Stomoxys calcitrans (stable fly), 315 nucleotides. RefSeq lists it as uncharacterized. Lineage: Eukaryota; Metazoa; Arthropoda; Insecta; Diptera; Muscidae. The transcript has 2 exons. The record is from RefSeq and is a predicted model, not a curated record.